CAAAGCCGGGUGCAUCUCAUACAUGCGCCAAGAAGACAACAUAUAUAAUAACAGAGUGUAUAGAGAUAAAUGUCAUAAAUCAUCAGAGUAUUUAUUACAUAGCGGAAGACUUAUUACAAAAUAACAUAAUAAAGAUAAAACGAACUAAGGAUCGUCGGCGCCAAUGUCGACUGGGAAACGCCACCUAGAUCAGAUCGAACUCCUCAGUGUUAGGCGGCUCCUCCUGAACCACCUGAUCAUCUCCUGUGGGGGGGUGUGAGACAGCAAGGGUGAGCUCACACAUGAUCAUCGCUCAACAAGUUGUGGGGAAUAAUGUGACAUGAACUCACCAAAGGUGGGAGCUCAUGUGAAGUGUAAGGCUGAUCAGUGAUAGGGGUUAAAGCUGAGCAUUGCUUUUAAGUAGUUGUUCAAAAUUUUAUUAGCAGUUACUAAGUGUAAGUAAAUACCAAACCUUAAGUAAAGUAAUAGAACAAAAUUAAUAAUAAGCCCAUGCAAUGCAAAUGACAAAAUUGAAUUUAAGUUCCAUAAUUUAAACAUCAGAGAGUCCUGAGCUGCUCAUGACCGUGAGCUCGGCUAGUAUACCAGUUUUACACUCUGCAGAGGUUGUACCCUUUACCCACAAGUCAUGUUACCCAUCUGCCAAGGGGUCAUGAAUCCCAUACACCUCUACCUAGGAAGCGCGGCAGGGCAACACUACGAGGCCUUUACAAAGUUCCACUAGCUUCCGAAAACCCGCUACAGUUUAUGGGAAGAUCCAGUACAGGGUUCCUGGCUGACCGCCAUCGCAGCAAAAUCAACCAGGGACCUCCCCGCACUGACCUCUCCCCUACUGCCCUUGCCCCUUUCGGGUAAGGUAGUCUUCCACUAGCUUUCCUAGUUAAUCAGCCAAGGGCGUCCCAUUAAACCCUUGUGGUGGCACGUGGUUCUCAAGUUAAGCUCUAUGUUCCAAUUAACAUUAAUGAUAACAUCAUGAACAUAAACAGAAUAACAACAAGAAUUGGAACAUAGAGGUAAUAAAUGAUUAUCCCAAAACCAUGUAAAGCAAUAGCAAACUACCCAAGUGAUUCAGGGGUGAACAAGGUAAUGAGAUAAACAAUCUAGGGUAACCUAUUGGGUCCCAUCAAAAUUAACCUAUGCAUGGAUAAGUGAUAUUAAAGAACAUUAUUGGGUAAAAAGUGGUCAAGGGCACAACUUGCCUUCAAUGAGCUCCUGCUCAGCUACUUCAACCUGCUGCUCACCAGAAUCCACAGUGGCUUGUUCGUCUACUCGCAUCAACACAAUACAUACAUAGUAUAGCCAAAAUCAACAUCACACCAAACAGAUGAAUAAAAUAUACAGUAAAAAUAUACACAUUAAAAUGAAAUCCUAGGAACUGGAAUCACUAAAUUUGGAGUUAUAGAAUUCAAGUUAUGAAUUUUCAAAGGUUUUAUGUGUUUAAAGUAGGAUUAAAUGUGAAAUAAAUUUCCUUACUGUUUUCAUGACAUAACAGAGGCUCUAGGUGAUAGAGAAUAAAAAUACAAAAUUUUAGGAAGUGGAAUGGCUCAAUUUGGAGUUAGUAUGAAUUUUCUAUGAAUUUAUAAAGUCCUAGCAAUUAUUUUUCUAUUAAAAAUCUAUUUAAUAACCAUUUUCUCUGGUUUUAUUAUGCUCUGGACUAGGCCUCAUUUACCGGAAAGUACAGGGGCCACUGCGCAAUUAGUUCCAAGACUCAGGACACACCCUCUACGGAUUGCGGGUUGAUUUCUAUUAAUCGCAGGGACUCUUUUGUAUAAUGCUCAGGCCGAAGGGGUAUCGUUGUAUCGUAGCCGCACGAUUUGAUCUGGGCGGCCAGGAUUAAAUCACCACGGUACACACGGCCACAUCACUCGGAGCCGUUGGAUUCCGAUCCAAGGCCACGCAUUCGCCAUGACCCUGCCCGCACGAUUAUGAUCCGACGCUCGAUAUCUUACGGCCGCAAUCGGCUAGAGAUCUCCCGAUCGGUGCCGUUGCCUACGAAAUCAACGGCCACCGCACCUUUCUUCCUCCCCAACACACAGACCAUGCGCGGCGGCGCCGCCCAGUUAAUCCUACGGAUGUGAGCACGGCGGCGAACAACGGAUCCGCGAUUUGGCGAGCUAUUCCGAACGCGGUGAUGAGCAAUCGGUAGAGGAGAUUACGACGAACUCAAUGGGGGUAAUCUUACCGGUGGUUGAUCGGUGCAGAGAGCCGACGACGGGGUUUGGCGGCAGUAGCGGCCUCCGUCGAGCAAUUAUGGAGGUCCAGGGGCCCUUCUCGUCCAGCGAUGUGAUGAGCGGCACCAGUGGUGUCAGGCGAAACUCCCUGCACUCCAAUUCGGCCACGGGUGGCGCGGUGGUCUGGGAACAAGCACGGCGGCUACUUUCUUUCGCAAUGGCGCACGGUGGCAAUGAGGAAAGGGAGAGGAAAGGAGGGGGUCGGUUCGCAGAUAUAGAAGGUGAGGAUCACGACGCGCAGAGAUAGCGCUCGGCCGUAGUCAUAUCCCAGGGAUCCGGUCAAGGCACGGAGCAAGAAAUCCGCGGUGGUUGUUGAGCCCGGGUCAGCGAAAAUCGGGCGCGCGCGGAGAUCUCGCCCACGGCCUAUCAUCAGCAGGAUCCGAUUCACGCGGGGACUCAUAGUAUCAGAGGUGAGCGGAGGUCAUCAACCGGCCCAAGUGCCCCCGAAUUUCCCGGCGGCCGGUGAGCUCGCGAGCGAGUCGCGCGGGGGAGAAGGCUCCCAGGUGCAGUCGGGCGGCAGACAGGUUGGCCCACCAGGAAGUCACACAGGAGCGGCAGUGAGCGCGAGGCGGCAACGCUGACUAGUGGACCCCGGAUCGGCAGGCGCAAGCGCGAGGAACAGACAGGUGGGGCCCUAUUGUCGGCGCCGAUGGUGAGUGGUGGACCGCGCGGGUGGAUUGUUCUGCUGGGCCGAAAUGAGUAGAGGCCGGCCCAUAAGGCAUUUUAUCCUUUUUCUUUUCCAUUUCCUUUUCUUUUUCUCCAUUUUCAAACCCAAUUUGAAUUCAAGUUUAAUUCAAACUUUUGUGGAUCUUCAUUUAUAAACUCUAUUUUUUUGCAAUUAGAAAUACUAAGCCUGAAGAUAUUUAUUUAUACAUUUUAUUUAUAUUUUCAUAUCUCUUCUCUUUUCCUUAUUUCUAGGAUUAUUUAGGAUUUAAAUUUUAUUUUUUUGGAAUUUAAUAUAUUUCUUCUUCAAAUUAUUUUAUGUUGACACAAAAUGCACACAAAACAAAAUCCAGCAUGAUGUCAUGGUUUGGUAGCAUAUCUUUUUAUUAAUUGUUUUUGGGCAUGGUGUUCACAUAUGAUGAUGCACAAAGAUCAAACUCACAUAAAGAAAAACUGUUUCUCUAUUGGUAUUAUUCCUAACUAAUUACAAAGUGGGUGUUACAAAUCCUACCCCCCUUAAAAAUAAUCUCGUCCCCGAGAUUUAAGAAGAACUAGAGAAAAUGUGGGGGAAAUCUAUGCGAAGCUCUUCUUCUCUUUCCCACGUUGCUUCAUCUUCUCCGUGGUGACUCCAUUGCACUUUACACAUCUUUAUAACCUUAUUCCUUGUAACUCGAGUCAAAGUAUCCAAAAUCUUGAUGGGGUACUCCGUGUAAGUCAAAUCACCUUGAACACUGAGCUCUUCCAUGGGUAACUGUUCCUCAGGCACACGGAGACAUUUCUUAAGUUGGGACACGUGGAACACAUUAUGCACAUCUGAUAGACUAGCAGGUAACUCGAGUUGGUAUGCCAUCUCCCCAACUCUUCGAAAGAUCAGGAAUGGUCCAAUAUAGCGAGGGGACAAUUUGCCCUUAACUUUGAAUCUCCUCAUUCCACGAAGUGGUGACACCUUGAGAUACACAUAAUCUCCUUCUUCGAAUUCCAGUGGCCUCCUUCUAUUAUCAGCAUAGCUCUUUUGCCUGGUUUGAGCCACUCUCAAAUUCUCUCGAAUUAUACGAACUUGUUCUUCUGCUUCUUGAAUCAGUUCAGGCCCAAAGAACUGUCUCUCUCCAGUCUGAUCCCAAUACAAAGGAGUUCUGCACUGCCUCCCAUAUAAAGCUUCAAAAGGUGACAUCUUCAGACUGGCCUGGUAACUAUUAUUAUAUGAGAACUCAGUAUACGAUAGACUUUUAUCCCAACUUCCUCCAUGUUGAAGGGCACAAGCUCUCAACAUAUCUUCCAAAACCUGAUUAGUCCUUUCCGUCUGUCCAUCAGUCUAAGGGUGGUAAGUCGUACUAAAAUUCAACUUCGUACUCAUAUUCUCAUGAAAGCUUCUCCAAAAACUUGAGGUAAACUGCGAACCUCGAUCAGACACGAUCUUCUUUGGUACUCCAUGUAAACACACAAUCCGAGCCAUAUAUAACUCUGCUAGCUGAGAACCUUUAUAAGUAGUCCUCACAGAAAUAAAGUGAGCCACUUUAGUCAAUCUAUCCACAAUCACCCAUAUUGCAUCAUAUCCUUUCUGGGUGCGAGGCAAUCCAGUAAUAAAAUCCAUACCAAUCUCUUCCCACUUCCACUCGGGUAUCUUAAGUGGGUAUAGUAGUCCAGCUGGUCUCUGGUGUUCAGCCUUAACUCUUUGACACGCAUUGCACAUAGCCACAUGUGUAGCCACAUCUCUCUUCAAUCCAUAUCACAAGUAUUUCUGCUUCAAAUCCUAAUACAUCUUGGUACUACCAGGAUGAAUAGAAUAAUCCAAGUCAUGGGCUUCCUUUAGAAUAGUCUCAUGAAGGCUUUCAAUCUCAGGAACACAUAUCCUAUCCUUGAACCAUACGGUGCCUUGCUCAUCUUCCGUGAAUUCCGGACCUCGACCCACAGUAAUCAGAUCCUUAAUCACCAAUCUGUCCUUCUGCGGGUUUCUUGCUCCAAGGUAGGUUCCACAUCAAUAAUAACUCCUUUAGUGUGAGCAACUAUCCCCAGGUUAAGUCUCCUGAAAUCCUCAACAAUCUCAUCGGGUAGCUGGGCAACAACAGCUGAAUGGACAUGCUCCUUUCGACUCAAGGCAUCUACAACCAAAUUUGCCUUGCCCGGGUGAUAGUGAAUCUCCAAAUUACAAUCCUUAAUAAGCUCUAUCCAACGGCGUUGCCUAAGGUUGAGAUCCUUCUGAGUGAAUAUAUACUUCAAACUCUUAUGAUCCGUGUAUACUUGGCACUUAGUCCCCAUAAUGUAGUGUCUCCAAAUCUUAAGUGCAUGCACAACUGCUGCUAGUUCCAAGUCAUGAGUGGGGUAGUUCAGUUCAUGCUUCCGCAACUGACGAGAUGCAUAGGCAAUCACAUGUCCUUCUUGCAUAAGCACACAUCCAAGUCCUUGGCCACAUGCAUCACAAUAAAUGUCAAAUCCCUUCUGCAGAUCUGGCAUAAUCAAUACUGGUGGCGACAUCAACCUCUUCUUCAAUAGAUCAAAGCUGUCUUGACACUUCUCGUCCCACUUAAAUUCUUUUCCUUUCUCCAAAAGCGAGGUCAUAGGCUUAGCAAUCUUAGAAAAUCCUUCAAUAAAUCUCCGAUAAUAUCCUGCUAAUCCCAAGAAACUCCGAAUCUCAGUAACUGUAGUGGGUACUCUCCACUCCAUUAUCUCCUUAACUUUAGCAGGAUCCACUGAAAUUCCUCCAUUAGAAAUAAUAUGACCAAGAAAUGGCACCUCGCCAAUCCAAAACUCGCACUUGCUGAACUUGGCAUAGAGUUGAUUAUCUCGUAGCUUCUGUAGCACCAUCCUUAGAUGUUCCUCGUGAUCACUAUCACUCUGAGAAUAAAUAAGAAUAUCGUCGAUGAAUACCACGACGAAUCUGUCCAAAUACUCCAUAAACACCUUGUUCAUUAAGUUCAUAAAAUAGGCUGGUGCGUUAGUCAAUCCAAACGACAUAACUGUGAACUCAUAUAAUCCAUAUCUAGUCGAGAAAGCCGUCUUGGGAAUAUCCGAUGGUCUAAUCCUCAUCUGAUGAUAACCGGAUCGGAGAUCAAUCUUCGAGAAUACCCUAGCUCCUCUCAUCUGAUCAAAUAAAUCCUCAAUACGGGGCAACGGGUACUUGUUCUUCACAGUGACAUCAUUAAGAGUCCUAUAAUCCACACACAUCCGCUGUUAUCCAACCUUCUUCUGUACAAACAGAACUGGUGCUCCCCAAGGUGAGGAACUCGAACGAAUGUACCCAGCCUCUUGUAAUUCCAUUAACUGUUUCUUCAGUCCCUUUAACUCUUCUACAGACAUCAUGUAUGGUCGUUUAGAAAUAGGGGCAGUCUUAGGUAAGGGAUUAAUGACAAACUCAACUUCCAUAUCUGGUGGCAUCCCUAAUAACUCCUUUGGAAAGACAUCCGGAAAAUCCUUAACCACACGGAUGUUGUCACCAACAAACUUCCCAUCGACUAAGAAUGCCGCUAGUUUGGUGGCGGUAGUUACUGCAAUUCCAACUUCAAAUCUUUCUCCUUUGGAACUGGUGAGUUCUAUGGUUCCUUUAGCACAGUGUAUAUACUGCCUUUACCUUUCUUAACCACGGCAUACCAAGGAUCACAUCUAUAGUGUUCUCUUCUAACACUAUAGGGGUAGCUCAUCUGGGUUAGAAACAUAGGGUACGAAAGAAAGGAUUGUAGACAAGGCAGUGAUUACGAAGCAUGUUACUUUGGGGGAUUUAUUAGCUAAGUGUGUCACCUACUAAAGCUAAUUCAUUACCUUAUGGUGGUACAUGCUAAGAUGCCCGUCUAUACUAUUUCAAUCAAUCAAAGAAGCAAAUCAGGCAUUGAUCAUCAGCACAAUCAACCAACAUUUUUUUUAAAUAGAGAAAAUAGUUUUAAUUUUGUCUUAGGCUUCCCUAACUCUUAAGAAUGUCAUAGGGGUAGGGAUUCCAAGGUGUGAAAUCCGUCUUGUCUUGGAGUAGAAAAAGUAAGAAUGAUCAGAGUGGAACAGUAGAAGAUGAGACUGGAUCAAGAUAAGUAUAGAAAGAAUCAGAGUAAGGUAAGUGUAGAAUGAAUCAGAAUAAGAUAAGUAGGUAAGGGUUGUCCAUUUCUAUCUAGGUUUCGUCCUACAGUCAACAUUUCCUCUGAUACCACUUCUGUAACACCCGGUUUUAAAGGACAAAGCCGGGUGCAUCUCAUACAUGCGCCAAGAAGACAACAUAUAUAAUAACAGAGUGUAUAGAGAUAAAUGUCAUAAAUCAUCAGAGUAUUUAUUACAUAGCGGAAGACUUAUUACAAAAUAACAUAAUAAAGAUAAAACGAACUAAGGAUCGUCGGCGCCAAUGUCGACUGGGAAACGCCACCUAGAUCAGAUCGAACUCCUCAGUGUUAGGCGGCUCCUCCUGAACCACCUGAUCAUCUCCUGUGGGGGGUGUGAGACAGCAAGGGUGAGCUCACACAUGAUCAUCGCUCAACAAGUUGUGGGGAAUAAUGUGACAUGAACUCACCAAAGGUGGGAGCUCAUGUGAAGUGUAAGGCUGAUCAGUGAUAGGGGUUAAAGCUGAGCAUUGCUUUUAAGUAGUUGGUCAAAAUUUUAUUAGCAGUUACUAAGUGUAAGUAAAUACCAAACCUUAAGUAAAGUAAUAGAACAAAAUUAAUAAUAAGCCCAUGCAAUGCAAAUGACAAAAUUGAAUUUAAGUUCCAUAAUUUAAACAUCAGAGAGUCCUGAGCUGCUCAUGACCGUGAGCUCGGCUAGUAUACCAGUUUUACACUCUGCAGAGGUUGUACCCUUUACCCACAAGUCAUGUUACCCAUCUGCCAAGGGGUCAUGAAUCCCAUACACCUCUACCUAGGAAGCGCGGCAGGGCAACACUACGAGGCCUUUACAAAGUUCCACUAGCUUCCGAAAACCCGCUACAGUUUAUGGGAAGAUCCAGUACAGGGUUCCUGGCUGACCGCCAUCGCAGCAAAAUCAACCAGGGACCUCCCCGCAC
RNAcentral lists this long non-coding RNA (7860 nucleotides) under Zea mays. Its description in RNAcentral is "long non-coding RNA (ZMAY_LNC004442)". The record is from RNAcentral. Lineage: Eukaryota; Viridiplantae; Streptophyta; Magnoliopsida; Poales; Poaceae.